RNAcentral lists this long non-coding RNA (1034 nucleotides) under Phoenix dactylifera (date palm). RNAcentral describes it as "long non-coding RNA (PDAC_LNC016140)". Lineage: Eukaryota; Viridiplantae; Streptophyta; Magnoliopsida; Arecales; Arecaceae. The record is from RNAcentral.
UCUCCUUCGCAAUCCAAUCUUUCAGAGCAUCGAAACGCCACUUUUAGCUAAUAUUGGUUCUUCUUCUUGGAACAAUCCGAGAGAUUCGUCCCUCCGAGCCAAGCAACUAAUACAAUAACUACUUAACAACUUGCAAACAUUAAAAAAAGAGGGUAUAAGUAUUGACUUCUUUUUUUAUUUCCUUUGUCCUUUUUUAGGGGGAAGGAACUCCGUCGGUGACUCCUAAACUCCCAUUGGCUCCUUCCUAUUUAUCUACUGCGAGGAAAAGGGCAACUCGCCAGACAGUGAAAUCGACUCAAGGUGUACAUGGGAAAGCCAAAGGGACCAGAGGACUGUUGCCCAACAUUAAACAACAUCAAAGUAAAUUAAGCUGAGCUUGAGUCCAACUCUAAAAUACAAGCCAGGCUAGACAUUACUAGGGCAUUAAGAUCAUUGUAACAGAAUUAUAAAACAGUCAUCGCAACCAUUAACUAACCUAAUCACCGUUGCAAAAUAUGAUAUGUCUGUCUAUAAUCUUACAUCUAAACUGCCAUGGUCUCACAUCUAUAGGUCAUUGUAUUCUGUAAUAACAGCUAAAACUGGCAUGUGAAAUUUGUUCAUAUUGCAAAAAUGUUUUUUGCAAAUCAAUUAGCCGUAUAUAUUAAAAGGAGUGAGUUGGGGUCUUUGGGUCUGUCAAAUUUGUUUCAACAUGAAAAACAAUAGAAUUUGCAAGAAAAAUUUAUAAUACAACAACUGCAAGUAUCAACAUUUUCAGAAAGAAAAUUUCACACAAAUUUUAAAGUUACUUCAUCGAAUUGAAAACAACCUAUACUUAUCUUUAAAUAAUUCUUUACAACUCUUUCUUGCUUGAAAUUAUUUAUAAUUUUUAAACUUUUUGUUCCUCAACAUGCAUAACGUGCCUGUUUACUAGUUUCCCACUAGACUGCUUCUCAACCGAGUUUUCCUCCAACAUCACCAAGCUCCUCUUCUUCCACCCAGAAACCAAUCUCCCCUAUCAUCAGGUUUAUAUAUGUAUGUGUGUAUAUAUAUAUAUA